Molecule: ribosomal RNA, 253 nt
Filed under: uncultured bacterium
Lineage: Bacteria
Description: partial 16S ribosomal RNA
Rfam family: Bacterial small subunit ribosomal RNA
Source: RNAcentral
UACGAAGGGGGCUAGCGUUGCUCGGAAUCACUGGGCGUAAAGCGCACGUAGGCGGAUCGUUAAGUCAGGGGUGAAAUCCUGGAGCUCAACUCCAGAACUGCCUUUGAUACUGGCGACCUUGAGUUCGGGAGAGGUGAGUGGAACUGCGAGUGUAGAGGUGAAAUUCGUAGAUAUUCGCAAGAACACCGGUGGCGAAGGCGGCCACCUGGACGGUAACUGACGCUGAGACGCGAAAGCGUGGGGAGCAAACAGG